GGAUUUAGGUUAAGCCAAACUUUUAGCCUUCAAAGCUGAUAAUAGGGACAAUUCCCCUAAGCCUUA
RNAcentral lists this transfer RNA (66 nucleotides) under Distenia punctulatoides. Its description in RNAcentral is "tRNA-Trp". Lineage: Eukaryota; Metazoa; Arthropoda; Insecta; Coleoptera; Cerambycidae. The record is from RNAcentral.